UUUUUAAUUGAAAUCUUGUAUGAAUGAUUGGACAAGAGAGAAACUGUCUUUAUAUUAAGGUUUGAAUUUAACUUUUAAGUGAAAAGGCUUAAAUAUUCUAAAGGGACGAUAAGACCCUAUAAAACUUUACAUUGAUAAUUAAAUAUUAUUAAAUUUUUUAUUAUAAUGAUUAUAUUUAAUUCUUUGUUAUGUUGGGGAGACAAAAUUAUAAGUUUAAUUAACUAUUUAAAAAUAAAUCAAUAAAUUAAUGAACAAUGUUAUAAUAGAUCCUUUAUAAAGACUAAAAGAUUAAGUUACUUUAGGGAUAACAGA
RNAcentral lists this ribosomal RNA (312 nucleotides) under Potamonautes stanleyensis. Its description in RNAcentral is "partial 16S ribosomal RNA". RNAcentral also lists the same sequence under 1 other name. The record is from RNAcentral. Lineage: Eukaryota; Metazoa; Arthropoda; Malacostraca; Decapoda; Potamonautidae.